Molecule: ribosomal RNA, 155 nt
Filed under: uncultured bacterium
Lineage: Bacteria
Description: partial 16S rRNA
Rfam family: Bacterial small subunit ribosomal RNA
Source: RNAcentral
UAAGGAAUAUUGGUCAAUGGGCGCAAGCCUGAACCAGCCAUGCCGCGUGCAGGAAGACGGCCCUCUGGGUUGUAAACUGCUUUUAUUCGGGAAUAAACCUUUCUACGUGUAGGAAGCUGGAUGUACCGAAGGAAUAAGGAUCGGCUAACUCCGUG